This 666-nucleotide long non-coding RNA is filed under the name Capsicum annuum. RNAcentral's name for it is "long non-coding RNA (CANN_LNC018579)". Lineage: Eukaryota; Viridiplantae; Streptophyta; Magnoliopsida; Solanales; Solanaceae. The record is from RNAcentral.
UUGUCUUUGGUCUUCAGUCUUCUAUUUUAUAGCUAUCAGUUGAUUCAAAUUCUUUUCUCUAUAAGGAAAACUCAAGGGAUUUCUUCUUAAUCAAGGAUUUGAAUUAAUUCCUUGAUUGAGGAAUUACACCAUAUGGUACGUCCAUUUCAGAUAUGUCCUUACGUGUGAUGCAAUCUUCUUUUCUUGAACAUAGGCUCACAACCAUACAUGUCUUUAUCAGAUAUGUACAUGUAGAAGGUGUGAUCUUCCUUCAUUUUGCCCUUCCGUGUGAGAUGUUAUUUUGAUUGAUUAUCAAUUACCUUCCUUGUACUUUGGGAUCUAAUGAGAUCCUUGAUUGAUGUGAUUUCAAAUUUGGCGCCUGCUCUUUGUAGACAGGGAUCGACUUUCUUGUAAGUGUGGAUCAGCCGAGAUACUCCUCCAUAUAUGGCUCCUGGAAGAUCUUCCAUGAUAUGAUUGUAUCUUCAGUGUAUCCUGCAUAUAUUUAUUUAUUAGUUUGUCGUUAUUAAAAUAAAUUAUGUAAAUAUGGAGCUAACAAUCUCCCUCUUUUUGAUAAUGACAAAUAAUAAACAUCAGUUGAUUUCCCUGUUCUUGUAGUCAACUUGCCCCCCCCCCCCCCCUUUACUGACUCCUUACCUUUGUUGUCAUUGACUUUUGAGUUCAUGUAGU